GUGUCAGCCGCCGCGGUAAUACGUAGGAGGCGAGCGUUGUCCGGAUUUACUGGGCGUAAAGCGCGCGCAGGCGGCACUUCAAGUAAGGUGUGAAAUCUCCCUGCUCAACGGGGAGGGUGCACUUUAGACUGAGGAGCUAGAGGACGGUAGAGGGGGGUGGAAUUGCUGGUGUAGCGGUGAAAUGCGUAGAGAUCAGCAGGAACACCCGUGGCGAAGGCGGCCCCCUGGGCCGUACCUGACGCUGAGGCGCGAAGGCUAGGGGAGCGAACGGGAUUAGAUACCCCCGUAGUCC
Molecule: ribosomal RNA, 292 nt
Filed under: uncultured bacterium
Lineage: Bacteria
Description: partial 16S ribosomal RNA
Rfam family: Bacterial small subunit ribosomal RNA
Source: RNAcentral